Molecule: ribosomal RNA, 353 nt
Filed under: uncultured bacterium
Lineage: Bacteria
Description: bacterial SSU rRNA
Rfam family: Bacterial small subunit ribosomal RNA
Source: RNAcentral
GGCUACUACGUGCCAGCAGCCGCGGUAAUACGUAGGGUGCGAGCGUUAAUCGGAAUUACUGGGCGUAAAGCGUGCGCAGGCGGUUUUGUAAGACAGGCGUGAAAUCCCCGGGCUUAACCUGGGAACUGCGUUUGUGACUGCAAGGCUAGAGUACGGCAGAGGGGGGUGGAAUUCCACGUGUAGCAGUGAAAUGCGUAGAGAUGUGGAGGAACACCAAUGGCGAAGGCAGCCCCCUGGGUCGAUACUGACGCUCAUGCACGAAAGCGUGGGUAGCAAACAGGAUUAGAUACCCUGGUAGUCCACGCCCUAAACGAUGUCAACUAGGUGUUGGGAGGGUAAAACCUUUUAGUGCG